Molecule: ribosomal RNA, 369 nt
Filed under: Bacillus sp. (in: firmicutes)
Lineage: Bacteria; Bacillati; Bacillota; Bacilli; Caryophanales; Bacillaceae
Description: bacterial SSU rRNA
Rfam family: Bacterial small subunit ribosomal RNA
Source: RNAcentral
GCGAAGAACCUUACCAGGUCUUGACAUCCUCUGAAAACCCUAGAGAUAGGGCUUCUCCUUCGGGAGCAGAGUGACAGGUGGUGCAUGGUUGUCGUCAGCUCGUGUCGUGAGAUGUUGGGUUAAGUCCCGCAACGAGCGCAACCCUUGAUCUUAGUUGCCAUCAUUAAGUUGGGCACUCUAAGGUGACUGCCGGUGACAAACCGGAGGAAGGUGGGGAUGACGUCAAAUCAUCAUGCCCCUUAUGACCUGGGCUACACACGUGCUACAAUGGACGGUACAAAGAGSUGCAAGACCGCGAGGUGGAGCUAAUCUCAUAAAACCGUUMUGAGUUCGGAUUGUAGGCUGCAACUCGCCUACAUGAAGCUGGAA